Molecule: unclassified non-coding RNA, 357 nt
Filed under: fungal sp.
Lineage: Eukaryota; Fungi
Description: partial internal transcribed spacer region
Rfam family: Eukaryotic small subunit ribosomal RNA (bases 1-46)
Source: RNAcentral
AAGUCGUAACAAGGUCUCCGUAGGUGAACCUGCGGAGGGAUCAUUAACACAAAGAAAAAAACAACUCGAGCGAUCGGGGCGUUUUUUCUCUUUUUCUAUCACACCCAUCUAACGUGAACUAGUAUGCCCAUACUUUUCUUUGCAAUGCAAUGUUAAGCUUUUUGCCUGUCACAGGCAUUGCUAAUGUUGUUUUGCUAAAAUUUAUAACUUUUUGUAACAACUGCAAACCAUUUCCAAACAAAUUUUCAACAAUGUAAACUGUGAUCAGUUCAACCAGCCUUGUGCUUGUGUUGUUUCUGUUUCUAGCAUUGACUAAUAUAUAGAGUACAACUCUUAGCAACGGAUAUCUUGGUUCUC